AACGAACGCUGGCGGCGUGCUUAACACAUGCCAGUCGAACGGUGAAGCGCCUUCCGUUUUGUUUUGUGGGGAUGAGGGGCGAACGGGUUAGUAACACGUUAGUAACCUGCCCCCUUCUUCUGGAUAACCUCAUGAAAGUUUGGCUAAUACGGGAUAUUCUGUGUCUGUCACAUGAUGGGUCUGUGAAAGAUAUUGUGUCUGUGGGGGAUGGUCUCGCGGCCUAUCAGCUUGGUGGUGGGGUGAUGGCCUACCAAGGCUGUGCCGGGUAGCCGGCCUGAGAGGGUCGACGGCACUAGAGGGAAUGCGCCAUCGACACGACUACUAGGGGCGGCAGUAGUGGGGAAUAUUGCACAAUGGGAGGAAGGCUCCUGCCGUGCCGCCGCGUGAGGGAUGGACGCCUGCGGGUUGUGAACCUCUUUUGCCAGAGAAGAACACCUGCUUAGUGUGUGGGUGGGUUGACGGUAGCUGGAUAAGAAGCGCCGGCUAACUACGUG
RNAcentral lists this ribosomal RNA (494 nucleotides) under uncultured bacterium. Its description in RNAcentral is "partial 16S ribosomal RNA". It matches the Rfam family "Bacterial small subunit ribosomal RNA", at positions 28 to 507 of the family's 1533-position model. The record is from RNAcentral.